Molecule: ribosomal RNA, 468 nt
Filed under: uncultured bacterium
Lineage: Bacteria
Description: bacterial SSU rRNA
Rfam family: Bacterial small subunit ribosomal RNA
Source: RNAcentral
AUUGAACGCUGGCGGUAUGCUUAAGACAUGCAAGUCGAACGGUAACAGGUUAAGCUGACGAGUGGCGGACGAGUGAGUAACGCGUGGGAAUCUACCUUGUAGUGGGGGAUAAGCCAGGGGAAACUUGGACUAAUACCGCAUACGCCCUAAGGGGGAAAGGCGCAAGUCGCUAUAAGAUGAGCCCGCGUCUGAUUAGGUAGUUGGUGGGGUAAAGGCCUACCAAGCCGACGAUCAGUAGCUGGUCUGAGAGGAUGAUCAGCCACGUCGGGACUGAGACACGGCCCGGACUCCUACGGGAGGCAGCAGUCGGGAAUAUUGGACAAUGGGGGAAACCCUGAUCCAGCAAUACCGCGUGUGUGAAGAAGGCCUGCGGGUUGUAAAGCACUUUCAGUUGGGAAGAUAAUGACGUUACCAACAGAAGAAGCACCGGCUAACUCCGUGCCAGCAGCCGCGGUAAGGCACGACUGU